Molecule: long non-coding RNA, 6362 nt
Organism: Gallus gallus (chicken)
Lineage: Eukaryota; Metazoa; Chordata; Aves; Galliformes; Phasianidae
Source: Ensembl
GGAUGGGGGGCAGUGGAAGAAAGAAAAAAAGAAAAGAAGGAAAAACAAAGAGGAAAAAAUGGGGAAAAAAGAAAAUAGGAAAGAAAAAAAAAGGAAAAAAAAAGAAGGAACAAAAAGAAAAUAAAAGAAAAAGGAGGAAAAAAAUGAGAAAAGUGGAAAAAGAAAAAGAAGGCGAAAAAGAAAGAAAGGAGAUAAUGUAGAGGUAAAAGCAGAAAAGGAGGGAAAGGAAAAGACGAAGGAGAAAAAGGAGGAAAAGAGCAAGAAAGAAAAAGGGAAAGUAAUAGAAAAAGGAAAAGAAAAAGAAGGAAAAAGAAAAAAGAAAAGCAAAACUAAAGAGAGGAAAAGCGUGAAAAUAAAAAGGCAAACAGGGAAAAGGAAAAAAAAAAAAGGAAGAAAAGGAAAAAAAGGAAAAAAAGGAAGAAAAGGAAGAAAUGGAAAAGCGCCCUGUGCGCGCUGCAGGAGUGUCUGCCCAGAGCGGGGCUGCGGUGCGGUGCGGUGCUCGGGGCUGGCAGCGGCCGUCACCGGGUGAGGAUCCGGCCCCGCGCCUUCCCAUGAGCCGAACCCGACAUCAAAGGGCACGCGAUAGCAAUGUGGAGCGCACAUGGGCGGCUCGCGAGCCCGUCUGUCAAGCCACGUUUCCUGGUGCUCCCUGCCCUCCGCCCGGCAGCCCGAGCCCCCCGGACGCGGGGCAGCAGAAGCACUCGGGAGCUCCGGGCGGGCUGCGCACCCGCGGCGUCCCGAAGCCAUCCCGGGGAGCCGCCCGCUGCCUUUGCUCCUCCAUGGGACGCGAGGACGAGCUGCGAGUUAAUAGCCAUUGUCAUCCAGGGGUGGUUUCAAUUAUCUUUUGGGGCCUCUCCAGACUUAACUCGUCUUCUGCCACUUUGCCGCGCAACCCGGGCACCGGUCCAACAUCCCUCUCCGAGGCAGCCUUGCAAGCGGCACCUCACCUGCUGGCAGCCACCGGCCCCGCCAGCCCGCUGCUCAGCCCGGCCGGCAAACGUCGGGGCCCACGUCCCCCCGCCGCCCUCCUGCUCGGCCAUUGCGGGUGGCCCCGGGGCUCUCCGGGGCCGGAGACGCAGCGGGAUGCGAGAUGGGCUGUGAUGGGAGACCAAGGAAGAUUUUCAGGCUUUGCACUGUCUGAGAGUGGAGGCAGGAAGUGAAAUUAAGACCAUUCGGCUCUGCAUGAGCAUUCAAGAAACCGGUCUUCUAAACAUUUUCGUUAAGAAAUUAAAGGAAGUUUCUGUUUAGGGUGGAACCAGGAGUUUGUGCUAUAUCCUAACGACGACAAAUUUCUACCAUUCUUCAGAAACUUUUUCAUUCCUUCACCCCACAAUGUUUAGGAGAAUUAUAGGCAUAGAGCAGGAGGUGUCUGUGCACCCAUUUACGCACCGCUGUGUGCAGUGGUACGUACUGCAUAUUGAUGUGUGUGUGCUCAUUUCUCUCUGCCGCAGUGAAUCUUGAGGAAAACUUAGAUGUUGUGAUGAUUCUGAGACACAGUACUUUGUAAGGGUCACUGCAAUGCUUCACGUCGUCUACACCCAGAGAACUCCUAUGACGUAACUGAGACACAAGUCCAGAUCACAGACGUGCCAUCACUGGGGAUUAGGUGGAAAUCUGGUGUUUGAAUGCAAACUCUCUCUUUCAUGUUGUUUUUACCAUGCAGUCCUCAGCACCAGGGAAGGCUCUGAGGUGCCUGAAGCUCUGCUGCACACAUGCGCUGGAAGCCUUUUGCUCCUGACAGGGCUGAGUGCAUAUCUCACACCUAACCCCAUCCGGAUGCACAGACAAAGCAUUCCUCCUCCCGAGGGGCUGCAGGGCCACGCAUGUGCGAGACACGCUCGUGCAGGCGGGCUCUGAAAGCAGUGUGGUGGCACUGCAGCACAGUGGGGACAGAGUGGUGGGAGCAGGAGGCGCGAUACCUCAGAGGCACCAGGACAGAGCGGGCACGGGAUGGGCACUGCUGGCAUGAGCAUACUGCUGGAGCCCCAUAGCCCAUCUGUACUGCUCAGUGUGGAAGAACCCAAAGGCACAACCCCAAGCACCUCCUUCUGCUGGGGCUACUGGGACUUCUGCUUGAAUAAGGAAUGGAGCGUGGGCUCCAAUAAGAGACAUUUUAAAGCAGCCUGAACCACGUCUUCCUUCUGUGCAUGUCAGUGCAGCCUGUCAAAGCCAUUCAUUCCUAUAAAUAUUUUAAGAGUCCAGUGAUGGUGCUGAAAUGGAAGUCUCAGCUCCCUGUGCUGGCAGCCAUGCUGAUGUUUCCUAGAAUACACAGAGCUGAGUGAAGGAGGGUGUUGUGGGGAGGUUCAGUUCCUGGUUAAAAAAAGGGAAGAGGAAGCACAGCACUGUGUGCCCAGGGCCUUAAUCCCUCCCAUCCCCACCCCCUAUUAAUUCAACCACACAAUUUGUAAUCAUUCAUAGCAGUUGGAAUUGUCUUGAGUUUUAAAAGGCUUUUCUCAUUAACCAGCCCUUUAUUCCUUGCAAAGCACAUUAUUGAUCUUAAUAUGCAGAAAAUGCCAUCGCUAGCAUAAUGUCUGUGCCAUUUUUGUUGAACAAUGAGAAUUGAUGAGGCUUGGCAGGACAUUAAAAUAUUUAACAUUAUAGCUUUGAGAAGACUUUUAUGUGUCUAUAGUAAUAGGAAAAUCUUUUAACAGGAAAAAUGUUUUCCUCUGCUUCACUACAGUCUUCAGCGAGGGCUGAUUCUGUUUGUACUAAACCCAAUGGGAGGUUUCUUACUGACUUCAAAGGAGAGGAGGGGAACUCCAGUUUGGAAAAUCAUUGCUAGAAGCAAAUCUGAGCCUUCUGGUCACGUGAUCAGUGCCAUUUAAAUUAGCGUUUUGUGACACUCCCUGGGGCUGGGACCUUCAGCUUUGCCUCGGGAGAUGGAGUAUUGAGGAGAUGCCAAGAGGUGGCUGUGCAGCUCCUCACCAACCCAUCGUUUAAAGGCACGUGUGAUGGAUCAGGAGCCACCCAGGGGCAGCUAUCAACCUAUGUUCCUUGCCCCUAAGAGUCUCCUUCGGAGGCACAUUUUGAUGUAACUGCUCAGUUUUUCUGCUUUUGCUGUCCAAACCACCACUGACUUUUGAGGUUUUAACUCAGGCAGUGUGGCUGAUUUUCUGUCUUUACAGCAUUAUUUGCAGGGUACAGAACUCAGGAGAAGUUGUAGGGGAGAGGAGAGGGCAUUCAAAAAACAGACCAUUACUUCAUAGAUCUUUACAAGACCCGAACAGGCCCACAUCUGGACUGAGGAGCGGAGAUGAUGGAGAGCGAGGAAUCGGCUGCAAGCAGCCUGCUUCACAGGCACUCCUGGAUGGGUCACCCCAUGCCUGCGAGCAAUGGGUCAGGGCAGUGCUGUCAAUAACAUGGUGUUGUAUGUAAAGCUGGGAGCACAGAGUCCCACACCGUUGUAUGUGCUCAGCAAAGCUCCCAUUUGCCUCCAGGAGAAUUCUGCCUAUGUAAGGACUUAAGAGCCAUUGCUAGGAGCUAAGAAAAGAGCAUUAUUAAUUCACUUCAUCGCUGGCUCAGUGAAAGCCAACAGCUUUCUGCAGUCUUGCCAAAAUGAAGAGGAGAUGGUCUGAGGUACAUGCAGGGUGAUUUUCAUACCGAAGGUGAGAAAGGAGAAAUCGUUUUAAGGUACGGUAACUUGCCGUACAAACGUGAUCUGUGUUCCCUCCCAGCUUUGAAAGGAGACUUUAUAAACUCUGUGGCCUUUGAUUUGUUAAGGCAACCUUAUACUUAUUUUUUUUAAUUCCCAAGUUUGUGAGAAAAUAGAAAGGAACCCUUGAUGUUCUUAUGCUCUCGAUUAUCACUUCAUUGUAGAAGUAUUUGCUUAAUGAAACAUACAGCAAAUAUUGCACUGUAAAACCUGUUGCAAUGUACUCAAUAUCUUUUGGAAUUAAUAGAAAAAAAAAUACAAGACUGCAGAAAAGGCACUAAUUUUUAUUUUAUCUAAUAAAAAUGUUACUUGACUGCAAAGCACUUUGCUUUAUUUUCUCACUUAUAUUGUAUAUAUUUGAAGAGAAAUGUCUGCUGCACGUCAUCUAUCUAACACAAAAAACUGAUGCUGUUAUUAAUAAGUUACAGAGAAAAAUAAACCAGUUUGCACUUUGAUUUUUAUCAUUCCUAGUGAGCGAUUCCUUUGGAAUAAACAUAACUCUAACACAUGUAAACAACACAGGAAAUUAAUAACAAAAUUCUUUGGAUUUAUUUCAGAUGCCACAUACUUUAUGUAAAUAUAUGCGGCUUUCAAUUUCAAUGAUUUUCCAGUAAGUAAUAAACUUUGCUCAUUAACCUCCUUUUAAACUAAACAUUUAUUACUUUAUAAGUGUUAUUUCAACUAAAUCAAGUGGAUAUGCUCAGUAAAUGAAUGCAACAAAUCUGCUCAGCCAGAGAAGCAGGAUAGCUUCUUUUCAGCUGGGCAUACUGUGAGUUUCUUCUUCAGCUUCAAGGGAGUGGGAUGCAGCUUAAUUUGCUGAUUUUUCAUGUUAAAAAAAAAGAAAAAAAAAAAGGUUGGUAAUACAUAUAUAUUUUAAAAUAAACCUACUUUUUCCUCAUUAGCUCAGUGGUAGAAAACGGGAAAAAUUCCACAAGCUGAAUGAAGUUACAUAUCAUCUCAGUACCAUGAGCCUUGUGUUCAGUUUUUCACAGAACUGGUUUGGUGGAAUGGCCAGGUAUCAAUCUUCUCUUGGCAUGAUGUGUGGGGUAUCUUUUAGGGAAACAGUCCUCUUAAGUGCAUGAUUUUAAGAAUAUUAAGGCAGAAAUGUGUUUCAAUUUCUGUACAAGUACGAAAAAAACACACACUAAGAAACAUUCUGCUCUCAUAUUUACGAUUAUGUGUUUGCUGAAAAGUUGUUAGCAUUGGGCUCUGUGGAGGUGGCUGCAUGCCCACUUAAUCACAGGGGUGUGGACGAAGCCCUGCCAUACUGUGCAGGUUUGGGUGAGGACACUGCAGGACCCUGGACGCCUCCCUUACCCAAGAAACUAGAAGCAAAUUGGGACACUCAGGGACACAACAGAACCACCCACUUCUGAGCCCAAACUGGAUGGAGGUGCUCGGCCAGCCUCAGCUCCUUUCCCACAGAAAAAGCCCAAGGAAAAGAGUGGUGCUGGCACCAUGGGCUGCAGCAGCACAGGGCUGCCAGCACUGGGGCCAGCGAGACGCUGCCUUUCUCUGAGUGCCUUAGAUAUCGGAGCACGGCUGAAUAUUCAACAUGAGUGCUAGGCUUCUGGGUUUUAUCUCUUAAUGAGGCACAGGCUAUCCUUGAGGGACACUGAAUCAUCACAUUUCUCGCACACCAGAUUGCAACCAGCAGCGCUUAUUUGAGGGACUGCCUUGUCCAGAAGUCUGCAUAAGGCGAUCUUAGAUCUGAUUACAGAAGUCAAGCACUAAAAUCUAUUAACUCAGCUAUAAGAUUUUUCAGUUUCUUCUGUUUUUAUUUUGUUUGGUUCAAUUGGAUUUGCUUCAGACAUGACUCAUUUCCACUUCCUGCAUCUCCACAAUAGUUCCUGCAAGACCCUCAGCCAUGGAGCAUGGCUUGCACCCACUUCAAACACAAAGCAGUCUCAUUUCUAUUUUGCAGACUGAGGCUUCAUUUAAAUUAUACAUGGCAGGCCAGAGGGUGUGUAGUGCAUGUCCUUGGUUCCGUUAGUAGACUGAAAAGAAAACUACAAAGAAAAAAAGAAACAAAAAAAAUACUCUGGAUAUAUAAAGGGAGAAGUCAAACUCCAAAAGCUCUCAGGAAAUCAAAUUCUUCAGUCACGAGAAAAGUGACAUUAUCCAAAUGAAAUCUUAACAUAGCAUGGAAAUGUGAUGAAGAGUGUGGCUGGUAUUCUCAGUGAGGGUAUAGACAUGUAUGUAAAUAUAAUUAAAUUGGGAACACAUUAGAGGGAUUAAGGAGAUCUGCGUAGCACUAGAAGAAAGAAGCAACAGAUGUAACUGCUAACAAUAAAGGAAGGGAUUUCUGGCCAAAGUUCAAGGUUUUCUUGCACCCAAGCCCAUUGUUGCGAAUGAAUGGGGACACAGUAAAUAACUUGUACUGACUUGUAGAUCCAACGUCUUGCUGUUGUUGUUCAUGAUCUAGCUACCAUUUACCAACAUGCUGGUUUUUAUAAAUGAGUUCCUUCAGCAAACACACAACGCAGAUGUACUUUCAUCUAGGCAGCGCCAUUGCUCUAUUAAAACGAGAUGCUGCAGUUGCUGCAAGAUUGGUGGUGACCAAAAAGCAACAACAACUGAAGACGCCCAUAAAUUUCUGAGCCCUUAUUGGAAGGUUUCCAGCAACAGAGGGACCCGAACACCCACAAGGCUGAUCUUCAGGCUUCAAAAGAGGUCCAGGCAUCGUGCCAUAGAUAGGCUUCUCUCUGUG